Molecule: long non-coding RNA, 566 nt
Organism: Cotesia glomerata
Lineage: Eukaryota; Metazoa; Arthropoda; Insecta; Hymenoptera; Braconidae
Exons: 4
Source: RefSeq, a predicted model, not a curated record
UCAAAAUACUUUUUUCUCAGUGUGCUAAUAAAAGAGGGAAUGAAAAUCAAAAGCUUAAUUGUUCAAAACAAUCUAAACACCCAGAUACAAUAACGGAAGAAAAUUUACUUUUCUUUCAAAAAAUUGUAAAAAUUUCUGAAGAAUCUUAUAACAUGCAACAAAAAGAAAUGUUAUCUGAACGACAAACGCACCAGCUAUCAAAUGUUUACACUGAACCGGCACCAUUAAAAAUAAAAAUAAGUCCACAUUACGAGAUUUACUUACCAAGAAGUACUUACCUCUAUAUAGAGCGAAAAAGUGAAAUUGCUAGAGGAAAAUAUGAUUGGCGUAUUUUGGUAAAAGAAACAUUGUUAGAGGUUUAUGGUGAUAACAUAAAAAACUAUUCGGCUGAAGGAGUUCGUGGUGGGUCUCCAGGUAUCAAUCCAGAAUGAUAUCGAGCACUUUAUGAUUGGGCAACUUUGGUAACUCAUAAAGAAUGCAUCCUAGAUUCUCAAUUUGCAGAGUGUAUAAAUCAAGUUACGAGAAAUAAAAGGAAAGCCAAAAAAAUUAAGGGACAGAAAAUGAUA